CAAUAGCGUAUAUUUAAAUUGCUGCAGUUAAAAAGCUCGUAGUUGGAUUUCGGGUGGGAAUGGCCGGUCCGCCGUUUCGGUGUGCACUUGCUACGCCCACCUUGCUGCCGGGGACGUGCUCUUGAGUUCACGCUCGGGACACGGAGUCGGCGAGGUUACUUUGAGUAAAUUAGAGUGUUCAAAGCAGGCCUACGCUCUGAAUACAUUAGCAUGGAAUAACACGAUAGGACUCUGGCCUAUCUUGUUGGUCUGUAGGACCGGAGUAAUGAUUAAGAGGGACAGUCGGGGGCAUUCGUAUUUCAUUGUCAGAGGUGAAAUUCUUGGAUUUAUGAAAGACGAACUACUGCGAAAGCAUUUGCCAAGGAUGUUUUCAUUAA
RNAcentral lists this ribosomal RNA (377 nucleotides) under uncultured eukaryote. Its description in RNAcentral is "partial 18S ribosomal RNA". It matches the Rfam family "Eukaryotic small subunit ribosomal RNA", at positions 592 to 976 of the family's 1831-position model. The record is from RNAcentral.